GAGAAAGAUAUUAUAAGUAUUUUGAUCCUAAUUUUAAAUUUUCUUUUGUAGAGCACUUGGUUUACAAGAGAAUAGAAAACUGGAACUUAUUUUCUUGCGCAUGUAAAGAAGAUGCAGCACCUUCAACUAGAUGCCACUAGUGAUAUAACAACAACAAGAAGAGAAGUAAGAACAAAAGAUGGUGGUACAUCACUCCCAAUAUCUAUGCCAAAUGUCUUUUUAUUGGACUAUAGAAACAUACGUAUGCCUCUCUUUUCUUUAUUUAUCUUUGACAAUCUGGGCAGGCCAAAAUACACAUACUAAAUAAAAUCGAAAGGUAAGUUUGCAUAUAUUAUCUUAUCAUUAU
This 346-nucleotide long non-coding RNA is filed under the name Ananas comosus (pineapple). RNAcentral describes it as "long non-coding RNA (ACOM_LNC004681)". The record is from RNAcentral. Lineage: Eukaryota; Viridiplantae; Streptophyta; Magnoliopsida; Poales; Bromeliaceae.